GAUGAACGCUGGCGGCGUGCCUAAUACAUGCAAGUCGAGCGAACGGACGAGAAGCUUGCUUUUCUGAUGUUAUCGGCGGACGGGUGAGUAACAUGUGGAUAACCUACCUAUAAGACUGGGAUAACUUCGGGAAACCGGAGCUAAUACCGGAUAAUAUUUUGAACCGCAUGGUUCAAAAGUGAAAGACGGUCUUGCUGUCAGUUAUAGCUGGAUCCGCGCUGCAUUAGUUAGUUGGCAAGGUAACGGCUUACCAAGGCAACGAUGCAAAGCCGACCUGAGAGCGUGGUCGAGCACACGGGAACUGAGACAGGGUCCAGACUCCUGCGGGAGGCAGCAGUAGGGAAUCUUACGCAAUGGGCGAGAGCCUGACGGAGCGACACCGCGUGAAGGAUGAAGGUGUUCGGAUCGUAGAACUCUGUUAUUAGGAGGGAACAAAUGUGUAAGUAACUGUGAACAUCUUGACGGUACCUAAUCAGAAAGCCACGGCUAACUACGUG
RNAcentral lists this ribosomal RNA (497 nucleotides) under uncultured bacterium. Its description in RNAcentral is "partial 16S ribosomal RNA". It matches the Rfam family "Bacterial small subunit ribosomal RNA", at positions 28 to 507 of the family's 1533-position model. The record is from RNAcentral.